This 465-nucleotide ribosomal RNA is filed under the name Vreelandella stevensii. RNAcentral's name for it is "partial 16S ribosomal RNA". It matches the Rfam family "Bacterial small subunit ribosomal RNA", at positions 338 to 795 of the family's 1533-position model. The record is from RNAcentral. Lineage: Bacteria; Pseudomonadati; Pseudomonadota; Gammaproteobacteria; Oceanospirillales; Halomonadaceae.
CCUACGGGUGGCUGCAGUGGGGAAUAUUGGACAAUGGGCGAAAGCCUGAUCCAGCCAUGCCGCGUGUGUGAAGAAGGCCUUCGGGUUGUAAAGCACUUUCAGUGGGGAAGAAAGCCUUGGGGCUAAUACCCUCGAGGAAGGACAUCACCCACAGAAGAAGCACCGGCUAACUCCGUGCCAGCAGCCGCGGUAAUACGGAGGGUGCGAGCGUUAAUCGGAAUUACUGGGCGUAAAGCGCGCGUAGGCGGUCUGAUAAGCCGGUUGUGAAAGCCCCGGGCUCAACCUGGGAACGGCAUCCGGAACUGUCAGGCUAGAGUGAAGGAGAGGAAGGUAGAAUUCCCGGUGUAGCGGUGAAAUGCGUGGAGAUCGGGAGGAAUACCAGUGGCGAAGGCGGCCUUCUGGACUGACACUGACGCUGAGGUGCGAAAGCGUGGGUAGCAAACAGGAUUAGAUACCCGGGUAGUC